ACUGUCUGGCACUCCCUAGUGAGAUGAACCCGGUACCUCAGAUGGAAAUGCAGAAAUCACCCGUCUUCUGCGUCGCUCACGCUGGGAGCUGUAGACCGGAGCUGUUCCUAUUCGGCCAUCUUGGCUCCUCCCUCUGAAGAAAGCAAUGUAGAAGACAGAUUGGAAGACUAGAAGACAGUCCGGAGGCCCCAGAGGAAGCUAAUGGUCUGAAAUAACAGCUUAAGAACAAAGAACUGUGAAUAGUUGCUCACCUCUGAAAAAUUCUCGAAGGAAUAGGUGAUCAUUGGGUUGAAGACGAACAGAAGAUGAUAAACUUGGAAGAUAAUAAACUUAAAAGUUAUGCCUUUCUUAUAUGGUAAAAGGACUUUCUCCUGAAAUGCAAUAAACUUGAGAUGACUAGGGGAAUGAACACGCAAUGGAAGCUGGAGAUAGACAUCUGGGAGGCCUCUGUAGGGCUCUCAUUCUUCUUUCUGACACCAUGUGAAGAAGGACAUGUUGGCUUCCCCUUCUGCCAUGAUUAGUCCAACAGAAAAUUUUAAGUACCUGUUUAAAGCAAUUUACAAGA
Molecule: long non-coding RNA, 565 nt
Filed under: Homo sapiens (human)
Lineage: Eukaryota; Metazoa; Chordata; Mammalia; Primates; Hominidae
Description: novel transcript
Source: RNAcentral